UCUGUUUCUGUUUAGGAGACAAAUCCAAAAAUAAUGCUGAGUUGUUUAUAAGUGGUUUCUAGAAGGUAUUAAUUAACUCUUCAUCACGUAAACGUUAUUUUAUUACUUUUUACGGGAGAGCUGGAAUCCCACGUCUGGAUCCUACGUCAUCACGUGACGUCCCUCCCGCCCCCCCCCAAAAAACCCAGGGCUGGUUUAAGGCACUUCUGAAAUAUCAACGUGAAUAUUGUGAAUAGUUUAGGUUUCCCUAUCUCAGAAAGAUAUGUUGACUUAUACGAGUGUCCGAGGACGUGCAGAAGGACAAUUCCCGGAAAGAAUAGUUUAUCGAAUUCGGAGUCUCUAUUGACUCUGCUCCUUUACUCACACAAAAAAAGUUGUGAAUUCGUGGGAUGUUUUACCACAGGCAGCUGUGGAGGCAGAGUUGUUGAGCAUGCUUAAGACAGAUAAUGAUAGGUUCAGAAUUGGACACAGUCUCAACAGUUAAAGGUAGAAUGCAGGAGAGUGUGUUUGAGGACGUGACCUACAAUCAGACAUGAUUGAAAGGCGAGCAGACUAGAUGAUCCAAAUGGCAUUAUUCUGUCCCUGUAUUUCAUUGUCUUACGGUCCUAUAGGACGCAAAAGGAGUAAAGGGAUCUCAUCGAAGCCUUUCGAAUGCUGAAAGGCAGAGACAGCGUAAAUAUGGAAACGAUUGUUUCCAUGCUGGGGUGGUAUAGGACAAGACGGCACAACCUCAGAGCAUAAAGGCGAACAAUUAAAACAAAAAUGCAUCGAAUGUUCUUUUUAGCCAGCCUCAUGAAUUUGCGGAGUAUGCUCCCAUGGCCAAUCGUCUAUUUUGGGUCACUUUAAAGCGUUGAUCGAUAGUUUCUUGACUGACACGUCUCCGGGACGGCGUGGGAAUGGGUGAGAAGCGGUUUGAAGUGGAUCAGUUCAAGCAAUUGCGGGAUACAAUAUCUUGGAGACAUCUGCCUGAUUCCUCAAAAAAAAGUUUCGAUUGUUCUGUCUACAGACACCUCUGGAAAGACACUGUAUUUCCAAUAGCGUUAUCUUUAUGCUGUAAUGACCUACCUUCACAACAUACAACAUGGUAUAUGUAGUUUUGUAUUUGCAAACUUCCGCAGAGUGGGCGAAAGGUAACUACUAUUGAUUCAUAGAGACUGUUCCUGAGGAACGGAGGAAAGAGACAACAGGGCUAGAAACGCACCACUCCAGGGCUUAGACGCUAGAUAGGAAGUUCGACGGUCAAGGGAUAGAAAACCAGACUUGAUAUGGUAAUAUUCAUUAUGUAGUUUAUACUUCUGGGCAAGCGCGGGAAUAUUGCCAUUGUGUAAAUCAGCUGCAUGGCUUGCCAGUGUAGAAAAAAAAUAGAGGAAAAUAUUUUGCAUUGCAUCCUCCUUUGUGAGAAUCGCAAGAUCACUAUUGAUUUGGGUCAGGAGACCCAGGAAAUGAGAGAGAGAGAUGUGCGGAAUGUCUCGUUCCCCGGCGAUAUAAAGAUACGGGACACGGCCAUUGUCUCUUGAAGACGAACUUGUGUUUUGCAAUACUGUGCUACGUGGAAGCCCUCAGGCAAAGUGGGCUCGUUGAGGGAGGGAUUGCAUCACCCCCAACCUGAUUGACAUCUGAGACUCUCUGAAUCAGGAUAAAAGAGGGUCUGAGGGAACAGCCCCUCAGACGCACCAGAAGAAACGCUGGUGAUCCUGUAAUAGUGGAAACCAGGUGGGAGGAGGCCACGUGCGUUCGGUUCCACUUGCCCCGGAACCGGUGGCUUUUACCACGUGAGACUGGCUUUUACAACGGGGAAACCAACUCCCAAAAGACUCGAAGGAUUGGUAUCAUAAAAGAACUGGGCAAGUUGAAACCGUCUCUCUCUCAAACCCAAAAACGCUGCAGCUUGGACGAACUAACAAUGAGUUUCAUAUUUCCAUCGGACAAUACAUUAUCCCCUAGACAACGAUAGAGCAAUUACUUAUUGAUUAUUAUUAUACCCGCGCUUUUAAAUUUAGUAUUGACGACGUAUAUUAUCUGUAUGUUUGCAUUGAUAUUAUUUUGCGCAUUUUUAUCAAUAAAUACUGUUAAAAUAGUACCAUCAGAAUUCAACGGACCUUUCUAUCUUUGCUGGUAAGUGACCAAGUUACAGGGUUCGUAACAGGAUGGAGCUGUGUGUCAGUACACCAGUGGCCCGGCAAAUUUUGCUGAAGGUAGAGGACAUAUACGUUGAAGACCUAAACGGCUAAGGCUGGUAUAUUAUUGGUACGCAGGCGAGUGUCGAAUAAGAAUUUAACAUCAAAAAACAUUGAUGAAGUAGAGUUAAUUGAGGAGGAAUGAAAAGUUAGUUCGUGCUGGAGCGAAUAAGGAGAAGGAAAAUGACGAUCAGGGGGCCGUCGUUUAUGGAGAUUGCUACAAUUGGCGUACUCUGAUGUGUACAAAUGCAGAAAGAAUAUAUGAACGUAAUUCACCUGCAAAUAAUGGCGCCGAAUGUCAAUAGAGGGAGACUAAUGGGGGGCUGGAAUGUGAUUGUGAGACAUCUGGGGUUAAGACAGCGUCGCAAAGAGUCACUUUCAGAAAAAAAAAUAGAAUAUCCAAUGCAAUCGCUAAACUAAAUUGUUUUGUUUUUAAUUUACAUAUCUUAAAAAGCUAUGCCAUAUAUUAUAAACGAUAAUUAUUUCAGGAUGACUCUGUUUGUUGAAAAUAUAUUGAAACAAAGCAUUACUUCAUUUGAAACUUAUAACUCAGUCAAUGAGUAUGACUAUUCGACAUUUUUAUUUGGAAGUAUAAAUAAGCAUAUUUAAACAUAAAUGUUAUUUUCUGGUUCUCCGAGGAACGAUUUUCGGUUAUUCCUGAAUUGUUUGUUCAGUGGCCUGUCACUGAUGUUAUCAAUUAGAUUGCAUGGUUCAUUGUCCUCUCCUGUAUAAGAGCUUAGAAAGCAAUCAAGUGUAGGUAUCUGUCGUUGGAGCAUUUUGAAUGAUUCGCUGCUUGACACAGAAAAUGGGAUAUCCUGCAAUUUUCUACACAGCGAGGAUUUACUACCCUGUAUUGGCAGCGAUUGGUAUCCCAGGUAAGUAACUGUCGUUGGCCUUUGCAUGUGUGCGUUGUUCAAAUUACUGUAUCUGCUGUAGGAAAUCAUAGUCACUGCAAAACUUGUAACAGAUGAUGCCUCAUCUGAUGAGUGCUUUAAGUCUGUCCAUAUUAAAUAUACUAUUAUCACAAUUUUAGCUGCAUUGUUAGUCGUUUUUAACGUCCGAUUCUUUUGUCAAUGCCAUCAUUUGUUCAAUGGUAAUAUUGUUAUUGUUUCUUCAUUUUAACUUAUUUUACCUUCUAUAGCUCAGAAGACAUUUAUUUCUCUAAAUUUGAUACUGCAUCAAGAUAGAAACGAGAUGCUUUCUAAAGAUGGAAAGAAAAUCUUUCAACUGAUGUUGCUCUGUCUGCUUGCUCCCCGGUUUAUCAAUCAAAAAAAUAAUUUCCUUUGCCCUCGUCGUGUGUCAGAAGAGGGCAAUUUUCUAGUUACCUAUCUAAAUGUUUUUGAAAUCGCCUCAAUAACAUACAGAUAUUUUCAGCAUUGCCCUUUCGACUUCUCCGGCCAAUUUUAAUUUUAACGUUCAAGAUUCAAGUUUACUUCCCAUUAAAAAUUACUUUUGCGGUUCUUCUUCUCCAGUAUGUUAUUUCGGAAGAUACAAACCAGAAUCUAGUAUAUUCCCGCUGUUAGUACAACUUUCGACGCUCUGAGUGUUGGGCGUUCGUCUAAAUCAGUGGAUUGAUAAGCCACUAUCCUCCAAAUGAAAGGCAGGUGACUGAACCUCUGCGAAAUAUUUUUUCCAUUCUUCGAAUUACAGACAGCUUGUGCCAGCAUAGGGUCAAGUGAAUGAUGUUCACAUAGUUCUGUUCGACACAUAUCUACGCAUGCGUUCUAAGAUUAAAAAAAAAGUGGUCUGGGAUUUUAUGCAACUCUUCUUUGCUUCUUUGCAGUUAAUUUAAUGGCGAUUGUGAUCCUUUCUCUUGGAAAGUGCGGACUCUCUAAAUGCAUCUGCCGGUACCUGGUGGGAAUGGCAACAGCUGAUUUAAUAUGUGUUAUCAUUGCUAUUGUACUCGACCAGAUUAAUAGUAUUUAUCUGUAUGCUCGUUCUUUGCUCAUUGCCCCGAUUUGUGCCGCGACACUUGUCCUCAGGCUCGCAGCCAUGGACUGUUCUGUUUGGUUCACGGUGGCUUUCACGUUCGAUCGUUGUAUUGCGAUCUGCAGUCAAACGCUGCGGCAACGAUACUGCAGCGAGAGGACAGCUACCAUCGUGUUAGCAUGUGUUAGUUUAGGCAGUUGUGCGAGGCGUGUUCCGUUACACUUUGUGGUAGAACCUUACGUUAUCAUUGACAACGUACCCUGGCGAUGCAUUGUCAAAGCCGAUUACUUUGAUUUACCACUGUGGAGAGCAUUCCAAUUGUUUAACACUAUCACUACACCUUUACUACCAAUCGGAUUAAUUCUACUUUUUAAUGCAUUAACAAUCAGUUAUAUUAUAGCGGCAAACAGAGUGCGCCGGGGGCUUAGGAACAGCAGAGCAAAUGAGAAAGAUCCUGAGGUGAAGAACAGGAAAAAGUCAAUGAUUUUUUUGUUCGCUCUAUCAGCUAAUUUCAUAUUGUUAUGGAUCCCCUACAUUACAUAUGCGAUUAAUUGGCAAAUACAGAAUUACUUUUAUACAGACCUAUACUUGAAUACUCCAAAGUAUAUCCUGCAACAGUUUGGUUACAUGUUGCAGUUUCUUUGUACUUGCACGAACACGUGUAUCUACACUCUGUCGCAAAGGAAAUUCAGGAAGCAGCUGAAAAAUGCACUCAAACAUGUGGUUACGUUAUACUGCCGGCGCUGUAGAUGAAAUAGAAAUUGAAUUGUAAACUUUAAUGGAAGUUCAAAUAAAUUUCUAUAUCAUCCAUAUGUCAGUUAAAUGUGCCGAUACUACUAUAGGCAGGUGAGCGAACGUUAGUAGCUUCUCAUUUCCAGAAAAGUCAGCAAAAUUAUUUCAGUUAAAUGGGACAACUUUACCGACAAAUUAUGAGACGCUGAUGUAAUUAUUACAUCCAAAAGUUGUGCUCAGGACUUUUGUAUUAAUGCCGGAAUCGGCCUAAGAACCAAGUAACGGCAGUGUGAUUUUAUUUGUUCUUUAAUGCCAGCGGAUCAUCGAGUGUUCCGGAGAUAUCGGUGGCAAUGGAAAUACCUAGAACAUGAAAACCUGGCGUCAGUUGAAGUAGUUAAAGUCAGCAGGGAUCCCUAUAAGUUACAUUGUAUUAAUUAAAAACAAAAGAAAGGCAUUGCCAUUCUGUUCAGAAAUCGUGCAGUCAUUUCCUGACAAGUGAAGCCUUACUCCGACACAUAACGGGUCAUUUUGAGCUGUUUACUGAAAGGGGAUAGUAUCCGUUUUGCCUCUGUGGAGUAAAAACCAAUGCUUUUCAAAGGUUGGGUAGAAGGCAGGAGAAAGAGGUUCAGAGAUAUUACCAAUCAGACACCAAGUUACGGCGGCUCAGACUAUGUUUCGAAUGACAGAACUAUGCUGCUAUGCCUUGUCGUUUUAUCGCGGUAAUCAUGUCAAGAAGGAGGGUGAAUGAAAUAAUGAAUGACGAGAGGGCAGCGGUCUGUGUAGAAAGAAGGGACUAAGUUCAUGUCGGAAUGGAGUAUAUGGUGGGAUUAGAAUCGAUGGGUUAGAAUACACAGAGAACGUUUCACAGACGACGUCACUCUAUGUUAACACAUCACCUAGAGCUGCUUCCGUCUGUCCUUGUAUCUGUGUGAACCUGGAUAGCAUUAGAUCAAGCAACUCUAAUAAUCCGUUUGUCAGUUUAUCAGGGAAUUUCAUACUCAUUCAAAUUUCGAGAAAUGGUGGUGCAUUCCCCUGUAAAUUGGUCACCAAGCUGUCGCACUCACCUAACUAAUAAGCAAAUGCUUUGAGACAACACACACAAAAUGCUGGUGGAACACAGCAGGCCAGGCAGCAUCUAUAGGGAGAAGCACUGUCGACGUUUCGGGCCGAGUCCCCUCUGAGAGGCUGGUCAAGGACUACAUCUGCAGCAUGUUGCCACUCACACUGCCACUCCUACAAUUCGCCUACCGAUAAAAUCGUUCGAAAGAUUCAGCAUUCAACACCAUGAUUCCCUCCAGUCUCGACAAGAAGGUCAGAUACAUCGGCAUUCAUCCUGCCAUGUGGACUUCCUGGCAGAUCGCUGGAGGCUGUCCUUCCGAAAUGAAUGGUAACAUUGUAUUUGAUGGUUUCCACCGACACAACCUACAAUUCAGCGAAUCCUGAACGAGGUCAGCACGUCCCUUGCAGCCACGUCCACUGCCAAGAAGGCCCACCAGCACCUUUACUUCCUGAGAACGCUGAAGAAAUUUGGUCUGUCCCCGAAAACCCUCACUAAUUUUUAUAGGUGCACCGUAGAAAGCAUUCUUCGAGGGUGCAUCACAGCCUGGUCUGGAAGUUGUCCAGUCCAAGACCGGAAGAAGCUGCAGAAGAUCGUGAACAUAGCCCAGCACAUCACACAAACCAAACUUCCAUCCUUGCACUCACUUUACAUCACACGCUGUCGGAGCAGUGCUGCAAGGUAAUCAACGACAAGACCUCCCCAGCCAACACUUUUUUGUCCCACUUCCCUCCUGGAGAAGGGUUCAGGAGCAUGAAGAUUCGUACGGCCAGAUUUAUGAAGAGCUUCUUUCCAACUGUGAUAAGACUGCUGAACAGAUCCUCACCCGGAUCUGAGGCGUACCUUUCAAAUAUCUGGACCUGACUUGCACUACCUUACUUUCCCUUUUCUGUUUUCUAAUUAUGAUUUAUAAUUUAAUUUUUUAUUAUAUUUACUUCGAUUUGUACUUCAGCGAAUGCGAAGCGCAGAAACAAAUAUUACUGACACGAUUGUACGCUCUUGUAUCAAUUGUUUGGUGACAAUAAAGUAAAGUAUAAGUAUU
This is an RNA transcript of Hypanus sabinus (Atlantic stingray), 6937 nucleotides long. It is a transcript of the gene named zinc finger protein 420-like, with no coding region annotated. The transcript is spliced from 4 exons. Lineage: Eukaryota; Metazoa; Chordata; Chondrichthyes; Myliobatiformes; Dasyatidae. The record is from RefSeq and is a predicted model, not a curated record.